This 448-nucleotide long non-coding RNA is filed under the name Ananas comosus (pineapple). RNAcentral describes it as "long non-coding RNA (ACOM_LNC041900)". The record is from RNAcentral. Lineage: Eukaryota; Viridiplantae; Streptophyta; Magnoliopsida; Poales; Bromeliaceae.
GGUGGUAGCUCUUUCCUCCAUAUGGUGGUAGUUUUCACACUCCCAGCAGGGAUGUAACUCUUUCCACAUCUUGAAUUUCAGAAAUUUUCAUAGCUAAAAUUGGAAAGACUCCCCCUAAAUUAGUGCAACCCUCAAAUCAAAAAAUAUUAUAGCUAUUUCAAAAACAGAGAAAGAUUUAUUCAUCUCAAAACUAAUAAUCAAACAAACAAUUCCAACAUUCAAAUUUCAAAGCAUGAGGUGCUGAAUUUGAUUCAAUAUGCUAAACAGAAUUUCAAUGAUUUGAUUGUUCAAAAAUAUGUCAAUAGAGAAUAACCCUGAUAUUGAUCAAUCAAAACUUAAAUAUGAAAUACUUAAAUUCACAGAUCAACUCAUCUCCCAAAACAGCAACAUCAUGCAAGAAAAUCAAUCAACCCUCAAACACCGAAAAUCAUGCAAGAAAAGAAACAAA